UGGGGAAUAUUGCACAAUGGGCGCAAGCCUGAUGCAGCCAUGCCGCGUGUAUGAAGAAGGCCUUCGGGUUGUAAAGUACUUUCAGCGGGGAGGAAGGGAGUAAAGUUAAUACCUUUGCUCAUUGACGUUACCCGCAGAAGAAGCACCGGCUAACUCCGUGCCAGCAGCCGCGGUAAUACGGAGGGUGCAAGCGUUAAUCGGAAUUACUGGGCGUAAAGCGCACGCAGGCGGUCUGUCAAGUCGGAUGUGAAAUCCCCGGGCUUAACCUGGGAACUGCAUUCGAAACUGGCAGGCUAGAGUCUUGUAGAGGGGGGUAGAAUUCCAGGUGUAGCGAUGAAAUGCGUAGAGAUCUGGAGGAAUACCGGUGGCGAAGGCGGCCCCCUGGACAAAGACUGACGCUCAGGUGCGAAAGCGUGGGGAGCAAACAGG
Molecule: ribosomal RNA, 429 nt
Filed under: Chloroflexota bacterium
Lineage: Bacteria; Bacillati; Chloroflexota
Description: Chloroflexi bacterium partial 16S ribosomal RNA
Rfam family: Bacterial small subunit ribosomal RNA
Source: RNAcentral